Andrographis paniculata is the source of this 1677-nucleotide RNA transcript. It is a transcript of the gene named ALA-interacting subunit 1-like, with no coding region annotated. The record is from RefSeq and is a predicted model, not a curated record. The transcript has 9 exons. NCBI's taxonomy places the organism in Eukaryota, Viridiplantae, Streptophyta, Magnoliopsida, Lamiales, Acanthaceae.
CGGCUCCUCUCUUCUCCUCUGUUUCUCUCAGCGGUGCAAAAAAUCCCUCUGGUGUUGUCUUGAGAGCUUCGAUUGAAAUUUGAAUCGGUACUUUACAUUAUUCACUCGAUGGUCCGCAAUAUCUCUUCCGUUCUUCGUUUGUCAUCUGAAAAUUUUGGUGGUUAGGGAAACCCUAGAAAAUAUGAAUGAUGGACUCUGUAGAUUUGCCGUCGUCUGUCGAUGAAUCUGGAUCGCUCGAUCCGACAUCGGAUACCAGGAAAUUCAAGCAGCCGAAGCAUUCGAAGUUCAAGCAACAAGAACUUUCAUCGUGCAAGCCUAUCAUAACUCCUAAAUUGGUGGUUUCGACGCUUUUGUUUAUCUGCGCCGUCUUCAUUCCCAUUGGAUUCCUUUCCCUCUCUGCUUCGCGCAAUGUAUGCCCAAAAUUGGCAAAUGUUGUUGAGAUUGUUCAUCAAUACGAGACUGAAUGUGUCCCUAUCGAGUCGAGGAAUGACAUUUCUCGAUUUAUGCAAAGCUCGAGCAACAAAACUUGUAGUAGAACUCUUAAUGUUCCAAAGCACAUGAAGCAACCAAUUUAUGUUUAUUACCAGCUCGAUAAUUUCCACCAGAAUCAUCGCCGAUAUAUGAAGAGCCGGAGCGACAAGCAGUUGAUGAGUCGAGCAAGCGAAGGCGACACCCAGAAAUGCUGGCCCGAGGAUGUAACAAAAGAUGGGAUGCCGAUAUUACCAUGUGGUCUUAUCGCUUGGAGUGUGUUUAACGAUACCUACCGUUUUUCUCGCAACAAAAAACCUUUGACCUUAAACCGGAGAGACAUCACAUGGAAAAGAGACCGGGAAAGGAAAUUCGGCAACAAUGUCUACCCGAAAAACUUUCAGCGCGGGGCUCUUAUAGGCGGCGGAAGGCUCAACGAAUCCAAACCGGUUGUCCGCAUUGCUUUCAAAUGUUGCGAGAAUCUGCACCGUGGCCGUGUUUUCUUUGCAUCGCAGUUGAGCGAGCAGGAGGAUCUUAUUGUAUGGAUGCGAACCGCGGCGCUGUCGAAUUUCAGGAAAUUGUACGGUAAGAUCGAGGAGGAUCUUGUCGCCGGGGACACCGUCGAUGUCAUUUUAGAAAACAAUUACAAUGCUUACAUUUUCGACGGCAAGAAGAAGCUCGUUCUGUCGACUGAGACGUGGCUCGGUGGUAAGAACGAAUUUCUCGGAUUCGUGUAUCUCGGUGUCGGAGGAUUGUGCUUCGUCCUCGGCAUGGUUUUUGCGGUUAUUUUUGUUGUAGUAAAGCCAAGAAAACUCGGCGACACGAGCCGAUUCUCGUGGCACAAUGAUGCGGGAUAUAACUGAGGUAGCUUACGGGAGUUUGUUCGAGUUUUUGUACUAGGAUGCGGAGGAACUCGUCGGAGGUUCGAGACAUUGUCAUGACGACUGAUCAUGAAGAAUAUAUCGUGAUCUGAGUGAAGGAGUUGGAGUUUCCUCCCGAGAAGUAGGAGGCUCGCACCGGCACCACUUGCCGUUAGGACUUAGGUGAUCGCUGACCGUCGAACUUCGAUGGCCACCCAACACUUGUUGUUUGGCUUAGCUUCACCAUUGCGAGGACUCUCCCGACAAAAUUGUCGUCGUGUGAUCUUAAAAGAAAAGUUGAAAUAUUGAAUUAAGAAGUUAAUAGAAAAAAACUGAAUAUUUGAUGUGA